UAGCAUUUCAGUUCCUCCUGCAAAUGUGGAUGUGAAACCAUAUGGGGAAACCGUGCUCUCAGGUGGGCAGGAAAUAUUCCACACUCCUGUUAGGAGAAUAAUGGAUGUAUCCCCAGUUGGGAAGGAUGCAGUGGGCUGAGGAAAAAGCCAUUGACAACUUCUUUGCUGAACACAUCCUCAUAGUUCUGUUUCUAUGGCAAUCUUCAUGUGAAAUGUGUUGGUAGGAAAACAUUAGUUACUAUAGAAACAACUUUCCUGUAAGUGAAAGUUUACUUUGUAACACAUGAUGCCUAAUAUUAGGUUUUUUUAAGUUAAACCACCCACACGUGUGUUGCAAUCAAUAAACAGAUCAUUGUACUCAAGCCUGCAUAGCUGGAAAUGUACAGAACUUUCAUGUCUUCCACCAAAACCAGCUGCUUGGCUUUGGCCAGAACCAGAUGGACUUGUGCAGGUGAAUGGUGCUGCCUGUUCAGGUGCCUCAGCCCUUCAGGAUCGCAUUGAGAACCAAGGCAGGUUUUCCUGGAGCUGGAUCGCUCCAUCACCCCAUGUGCACAGCAAUUCCAUCCCUCACGGGAAGCGCUGGUGCUGCAGCACAGAACAAAUGCCGCCUAUGAAAUGGGGAGCAAACCAAGUUCAGUCUUUCCCAGCAGAAACGUUUCUCUCAACCCUUUCCACCCUGAUGACUGGUAACUGGUAGGACGAUGAAUUGAGGCAUACUGUGCAAAUAGAGCCCAGAUCUGUCGUGAGUAGAGCCUUUUCAAACUAUCUGAAGGAUUUGGGGGCUUUGCUGGUGCUGCUUACGCUCGGAUUUCUGAGACACUCUGAGGCAUAAAGACAUCUUUGUCAAAAUCCAUCGCUUCUUCCUUUUAUUCAAAGAAGGAGAAAUAAAUCUGACUCAGAUGUUGUUGAUGAGUUGUAU
Molecule: long non-coding RNA, 919 nt
Filed under: Phasianus colchicus (ring-necked pheasant)
Lineage: Eukaryota; Metazoa; Chordata; Aves; Galliformes; Phasianidae
Description: lncRNA (ENSPCLG00000000222.1)
Source: RNAcentral